UGCACGUGGAUCAGUGUCCUGGAAAAAGUGAUUGGAUACCUUUUGACUUCCACUGGAUAGAAUUAAAAUGAAAUCCAGCAAAAAGAUGGAACCUCAUCCUGCAAAUCUUUAUAUUGCUUCAAUAUAGAUUGGAGUGAGCUUUACUAAAGAAGAAGCAGAUUGCUGGACUCUUUUUGGACGAGCCCAAAGCUGGAACACUCCUCAUCCUCCACACCAGCAUCCCUGCAGGACCUGCUCUGAGCGAGGCUGUGGGAAAUCCAGACAGCUCAGCACGGUGGAGAGGUGACCUCCCUCUGAAAGCAAACAGCCCCUUUUGCCAACAAGCAUUCCACUAAAAUGGAACCCCACUAAAAUGGAAUCCCACCAAAUCCUGGGUGUGUGCUUUCCUUGGCUGCAGCACGGGCAGCCCGCCCUGCACUUGGGAAAUUGUUACGGGAGCAAUUUUAGCUGCUGCGAAUUGCACUGGAAAUGUUUUCUAUGGUCUGGCACUUCAUGUGAUGAAUGACCCACCUCUAAACUCAAGUCAGUCCUUCCCUGCAAUUAUUCAGGAAAAGCCCCACCGUUUCCACAGAAAUCAGGAGAAAUAAUGUCAGUUCUGAUUUCUUCUGUGUUCUAGAUGUCCAUUAAUGCCACUAAUGACAUAAACUAAUUCUAUGCUAGUAUAUAUAUAUAAACAG
Vidua macroura (Pin-tailed whydah) is the source of this 677-nucleotide long non-coding RNA. RefSeq lists it as uncharacterized. The record is from RefSeq and is a predicted model, not a curated record. The transcript has 3 exons. NCBI's taxonomy places the organism in Eukaryota, Metazoa, Chordata, Aves, Passeriformes, Viduidae.